Molecule: transfer RNA, 60 nt
Filed under: Nomada ruficornis
Lineage: Eukaryota; Metazoa; Arthropoda; Insecta; Hymenoptera; Apidae
Description: tRNA-Asn
Source: RNAcentral
AAUGCAGAAAUUUAAAAAUUAAGUCUGUUCGACUUUUAAAAUCUUACAUGAUUUGAGUUC